AUUGAACGCUGGCGGCAUGCCUUACACAUGCAAGUCGAACGGCAGCACGGGUGCUUGCACCUGGUGUCGAGUGGCGAACGGGUGAGUAAUACAUCGGAACAUGUCCUGUAGUGGGGGAUAGCCCGGCGAAAGCCGGAUUAAUACCGCAUACGAUCUACGGAUGAAAGCGGGGGACCUUCGGGCCUCGCGCUAUAGGGUUGGCCGAUGGCUGAUUAGCUAGUUGGUGGGGUAAAGGCCUACCAAGGCGACGAUCAGUAGCUGGUCUGAGAGGACGACCAGCCACACUGGGACUGAGACACGGCCCAGACUCCUACGGGAGGCAGCAGUGGGGAAUUUUGGACAAUGGGCGAAAGCCUGAUCCAGCAAUGCCGCGUGUGUGAAGAAGGCCUUCGGGUUGUAAAGCACUUUUGUCCGGAAAGAAAUCCUUGGCCCUAAUACGGUCGGGGGAUGACGGUACCGGAAGAAUAAGCACCGGCUAACUACGUG
This 486-nucleotide ribosomal RNA is filed under the name uncultured bacterium. RNAcentral describes it as "partial 16S ribosomal RNA". It matches the Rfam family "Bacterial small subunit ribosomal RNA", at positions 30 to 507 of the family's 1533-position model. The record is from RNAcentral.